This is a long non-coding RNA of Tympanuchus pallidicinctus (lesser prairie-chicken), 1550 nucleotides long. RefSeq lists it as uncharacterized. The transcript is spliced from 5 exons. The record is from RefSeq and is a predicted model, not a curated record. NCBI's taxonomy places the organism in Eukaryota, Metazoa, Chordata, Aves, Galliformes, Phasianidae.
GCAUGAUUCACUCCCUUCCCAGACCUCAUUUAAGGGUUGGCAGUGGAGAUUAGGGUAUCUCUUGUUGGGGAUCCCUGCCUACCUGAGCCCUUCCAAGGGUGUAGGCUGGCUUUAACCACUUGAUUUUAUCUGUGGAUCACUGUAUGUCAAAAGGAUUCUAUGAGUAUCUCCUUUUUAGAGAGUGCUGGAAAGGAUUCAGAUCAGAGAAACAGAACAUUCUUGCAAAAUCAGGAAGUUGUGAUGAGUGUCUUGGAAAUCCUCUGAAUGCAUUGAAGUUGGUACAAAAGAAACAGAACCUUGUGAAAUAGAAUUAGAUGUGCUUUCAGGAGAAAAGGCUGACUCGUCAUCCCCACUAAUAACCAGAUGUACAUUGACUUCAGUGACUGUACUUGAGCGGAUGGGUUGGAAAGUGAUGUUACUGUGGGUCAGUGUAACCUCCGUGUACAGUAGCUGUGCAAUGAACUCCAGGCUCGCAUUCUCCUCAGAAAACAUAUAGAUGGUACUACUAGUUAAUUUUAAUAUUUGGAAUUUAGCGGUGCAAAUGCAAACUGCUUCAACUUAUAGGUAUGAAAAAAUGGAAUAAAUGGAAAUUGUCUUUUAAUAAGGUCUUAAAAAAAGGAUUUCUUGUAUUUUUUGUAGCACAUACAGGGAAAUCAAUGUGUUGCUUGAUUCUCCCUGCAGAACUUAAUGAACAUGCAGAAAAUACUGGAUCAACCAAAAAAAAUUGCACUGCUGGUUAUUUUGUUUGAUAUUCCUCAUAACAUCUGUCCUGAACCAAAAGAUGCUUCUUGGAUUGCAAUAGCCGAGCACUGUCCUAAUUACUGGUGUGAUGACCUGGAACUUUGCACAGCCAUUUUGCUUUGGAGUCUGAAAUAGCUAUAAAAGCUGGGGCAGCAACCCUUGACACAGUCAUUGAAUUGUUCCUGAAACUGCUGUGAGAUUCAGACUGGCAUUUUUCUCUCACAUGCCUUCUACCUUUCAUCAGGUCUGUGUCAGACAUGUAGUGACAAUUGUUUUUCCUGCCUAGUUAUAUUUUUCUUUCCAAUUUAAGAUCAUAAAUUAACAUUUCUGCCCAAGUUACUUGUCCAGACAGUACUGGCUGCAAUACUUUUGCUAGAGAGAUUGCACAGCUCCUCCAAUUCUUGGUUACAACAGGGGAGUAAAUGCUUCCUUAGUAUUUUUUAGUGUGCACUAGGACUAAAUCCUUUGUAAAGAGCUAAUACAAUUCUGAUAAAUCAGAGAAGAAUCAAUUCUGAUGAAAUGAUUAUUUGCAUUAUGUCUUCCUUUCUUAUGUCUUUUUUACUUCCAUUUAUAUACUAUUAUUGGUCUUAUCACAUAGCCUUUUGGAUUACAGAAACAGACUGAGAAUUCAUGUGCAGUGAAGACAGGAGUCAUUUAUGCAGGUUAUUCUGGCAGGUUGUUAGCUAAGUCUCACUGAGGAAUGCCUGUGAGGAACAGUUGACACGCUAGAGGGAAGGGAUGCUAUCCGGAGGGACCUGGACAGGUUUGAGAGGUGGGUCCCUGCCAACCUCAUGGAGUCUGACACUGCC